This 254-nucleotide ribosomal RNA is filed under the name uncultured bacterium. Its description in RNAcentral is "partial 16S ribosomal RNA". It matches the Rfam family "Bacterial small subunit ribosomal RNA", at positions 524 to 777 of the family's 1533-position model. The record is from RNAcentral.
GACAGAGGGUACAAACGUUGUUCGGAAUUACUGGGCGUAAAGCGCGUGUAGGCGGCUCUGCAAGUCGGAUGUGAAAUCCCACGGCUCAACCAUGGAAGUGCAUUCGAAACUGCAGGGCUAGAGUUCUGGAGAGGAAGGUGGAAUGCUUGGUGUAGAGGUGAAAUUCGUAGAUAUCAAGCGGAACACCGGUGGCGAAGGCGGCCUUCUGGACAGUGACUGACGCUGAGACGCGAAAGCGUGGGGAGCAAACAGGG